Molecule: ribosomal RNA, 253 nt
Filed under: uncultured bacterium
Lineage: Bacteria
Description: partial 16S ribosomal RNA
Rfam family: Bacterial small subunit ribosomal RNA
Source: RNAcentral
UACGGGGGGGGCAAGCGUUGUUCGGAAUUACUGGGCGUAAAGGGCUCGUAGGUGGCCAACUAAGUCAGACGUGAAAUCCCCCGGCUUAACCGGGGAAUGGCGUCUGAUACUGGAUGGCUUGGAUUUGGGAGAGGGAUGCGGAAUUCCAGGUGUAGCGGUGAAAUGCGUAGAUAUCUGGAGGAACACCGGUGGCGAAGGCGGCAUCCUGGACCAAUAUUGACGCUGAGGAGCGAAAGCUAGGGGAGCAAACGGG